This 801-nucleotide ribosomal RNA is filed under the name Triticum aestivum (bread wheat). RNAcentral describes it as "partial small subunit ribosomal RNA". Lineage: Eukaryota; Viridiplantae; Streptophyta; Magnoliopsida; Poales; Poaceae. The record is from RNAcentral.
AUGCUACACUUGACCACGGCAUGGGCCACCGCAUAUCUUGGUUACGCUCUGGCCUCGCACCGCUUGCGCAUGGGCACCGAGCGGGCCAUCAUCGACGGCGAGCUGCCCCAGCCGUGCCACCACAGCAAGGACAGGGCGUACAGGAUCUCCAACACGAUUCCUGUCGCGGCGUUCAUCGUGACGGUGAUCUGGACCGCUUCCAUGACGGCCAUCAUUUUUACAAACGACAUCACCGAUGAGUUUGAUAUUGUCUUUCUCCUCUCAUACGUCGGUUGGAUACAUGUUGCCGUCUGGUUACUAUAUGUUGCAGAUGUACCCAUGCGUAAAGUGCUGAUGAAAGAGCCAAUGGUGUCUCUACUUGCCUCCCUCCUCCCAUGCCUGAUGAUUUCUCCGGUGAUCAGCGUUGUAUGCCGUAUUCUGUCAAUCUUGUUCCAGUGUGAACAGGACUCUAUUUAUAUGCAUCAACAACAUCUGCAACUCACAUGCAUGGUACUCGGUAAACAUGAUAAGUCAUGUCAAGAGAAGUUGAACAGCAUGGAGCAUAUGGGCGACCUUGAUGAGAAUCCAAAGAAGAUGACUGCGACAUCGGGGCGAGCGCCUAUUUCAAGAGGGGGCGGCGUGGAGAGUGAAGAAAAGAAGCACACUUUGGGCACGAAGAACAUCAAGGAUCGAGUCUUCUCAUCUGAGCACCGCCAGCACCAAAAGUUGAGGCCAGUCUGUCCCGGACCAGGUGUGGACUACUCUAACUCUCCCCAUCACAAUAAUGUCAACCGCAGGAUGGAUGCCAUGAGCCCGCGGUGA